This 951-nucleotide ribosomal RNA is filed under the name Dendrostilbella macrospora. Its description in RNAcentral is "partial large subunit ribosomal RNA". It matches the Rfam family "Eukaryotic large subunit ribosomal RNA", at positions 1 to 608 of the family's 3401-position model. Lineage: Eukaryota; Fungi; Ascomycota; Leotiomycetes; Helotiales. The record is from RNAcentral.
CCUACGCUCGUUAUUCACCCGACUCUAAAAGANGGGAGAGCAGCANAACUGGGCCCCGCCUCCGANUGUGGCGGACCCUUUUUUAAAAGUCUCCUGAAGACGGNUUUNUUUAGAAAGGUUUUUUUUGGGCCGUCCCAUUUUGUAANUNGUAGANGAGGNUUUNGGCGAGGNGCANUANGAGUUGCCUGGGAACGGACCCCAUGAAGGGGGAAAAACCCGUUUGGGNGGGGGCCCCCCCUGACCAAAACCUCCUUCAUCAAGUUAAUUAAUUUUUUUAUUUCUAAUCUCCUGGGAAGUAUUUUUCAUCUAAAGCUAAAUACUGGCCAGAGACCGAUCGCGCACAAAUAGAGUGAUCGAAAGAUGAAAAGCACUUUGAAAAAGAGGGUUAAAAAAAAAUUGAUAUUAUUGAAGGGAAGGGGACUGUAACCACGCUGGGGGGCGGCGAAGGGUCCCUCGCUCUUGUGCUCUUACUUUGUCGGGUACGGCCUGGCAUCAUUUUUUUGGGAGGGGGAUAAGCCAGGCUGUAGGAAUGUGCCUCCCUUCGAGUGUGGACCUCCUUUGACAAUUCCCUGUGUCGGACGGACGCCCGUAUUUUACUAAGGAGGCUUNUGGUUGUAUUCCAACCGCCCCUCCUNCCUUGAUCAGACACAGUAGGGGCUUCUUUACGUGUGUGUUGGGGUUGUCCCCCCCUACCCGUAAAGGAGUUCAAAGCGAGGGGUGGCUCCCCCCUCUCCUGAUCCGACCCUUAUGUUCUCGUAUUGAUUAUGGGUAAGACCACGCAGCGCCAGAUAUAAGNUAAAGUGCUCUCCGAUNAAAGAGCAGUCUGAGAGAGAACAUAGGAGAGGCUCUGCUCGCACUUACCCGAAAUACUCNUAUUCUACUCUCNAGUNUGGGUGCAUAAGCUCCAACACAAANUCCACUUNUCGCUAUCUCGCUUCCUCAGCCGCAANU